AUUGAACGCUGGCGGCAUGCCUAACACAUGCAAGUCGAACGGUAGAGGCUUCGGCCUUGAGAGUGGCGGACGGGUGAGUAACGCGUAGGAAUCUGCCUCGUAGUGGGGGAUAACCCGGGGAAACCCGGGCUAAUACCGCAUACGCUCCACGGAGGAAAGUGGGGGACCUUCGGGCCUCGCGCUAUGAGAUGAGCCUGCGUCCGAUUAGCUGGUUGGCGGGGUAAAGGCCCACCAAGGCGACGAUCGGUAGCUGGUCUGAGAGGAUGAUCAGCCACACUGGAACUGAGACACGGUCCAGACUCCUACGGGAGGCAGCAGUGGGGAAUAUUGGACAAUGGGCGCAAGCCUGAUCCAGCAAUGCCGCGUGUGUGAAGAAGGCCUGCGGGUUGUAAAGCACUUUGAGUGGGAAAGAAGGCCCCAAGGCCAACACCCUUGGGGAUUGACGUUACCCACAGAACAAGCACCGGCUAACUCCGUGCCAGCAGCCGCGGUAAUACGGAGGGUGCGAGCGUUAAUCGGAAUUACUGGGCGUAAAGCGCACGUAGGCGGCCCGCUAAGUCAGCCGUGAAAGCCCCGGGCUCAACCUGGGAACGGCGGUUGAUACUGGCGAGCUAGAGUGUGGCAGAGGGUGGCGGAAUUUCCGGUGUAGCAGUGAAAUGCGUAGAGAUCGGAAGGAACACCAGUGGCGAAGGCGGCCAUCUGGGCCAACACUGACGCUGAGGAGCGAAAGCGUGGGGAGCAAACAGGAUUAGAUACCCUGGUAGUCCACGCCGUAAACGAUGAGAACUAGCCGUCGGGUCCAAUCGAGGGUUUGGUGGCGCAGCUAACGCGAUAAGUUCUCCGCCUGGGGAGUACGGCCGCAAGGUUA
RNAcentral lists this ribosomal RNA (868 nucleotides) under uncultured bacterium. Its description in RNAcentral is "bacterial SSU rRNA". It matches the Rfam family "Bacterial small subunit ribosomal RNA", at positions 28 to 896 of the family's 1533-position model. The record is from RNAcentral.